RNAcentral lists this ribosomal RNA (440 nucleotides) under uncultured bacterium. Its description in RNAcentral is "partial 16S ribosomal RNA". It matches the Rfam family "Bacterial small subunit ribosomal RNA", at positions 338 to 795 of the family's 1533-position model. The record is from RNAcentral.
CCUUCGGGCGACAGCAGUGGGGGAUAUUGCACAAUGGGCGCAAGCCUGAAGCAGCGACACCGCGUGCGCGAAGAAGUAUUUCGGUAUGUACAGCUCUAUCAGCAUGGCAGAAAAUGACGGUACCUGACUCAGAAGCUCCAGCUAACUACGUGCCAGCAGCCGCGUUAAUCCGUAUGGGGCCAGCGUUAUCCGUAUUUACUGGGUGUAAUGGGAGCGUAGACGGCCCUGUAAGUCUGCUGAGAAAAUUUGCGGCUCAACCCCGAACGUGCAUUGGAAACUGCAGGGCUUGAGUGCCGGAGAGGCAGGCGGAAUUCCUAGUGUAGCGGUGAAAUGCGUAGAUAUUAGGAGGAACCCCAGUGGCGAAGGCGGGCUGCUGGACGGUAACUGACGCUGAGGCUCGAAAGCGUGGGGAGCAAACAGGAUUAGAUACCCCUGUAGUC